CCUACGGGAGGCAGCAGUGGGGGAUAUUGCACAAUGGGGGAAACCCUGAUGCAGCGACGCCGCGUGUGUGAAGACGGUCUUCUGGAUGUUAAACCACUGUCCCCAGGGACGAAAAGGACGGUACCUGCGGAGGAAGCUCCGGCUAACUACGUGCCUGCAGCCGCGGAAAUACGUAGGGAGAAAGCGUUGUCCGGAAUUACGGGGUGAAAGGGGAGCGGAGGCGGGGAUGCAAGUUGGGGUGAAAAACUACCGGCUCAACCGAUAGUCGCACUCAAGACUGCAACUCUUGAGUGAAGUAGAGGCAGGCGGAAGUCCUAGUGUAGCGGUGAAAUGCGUAGAUAUUAGGAGGAACACCAGUGGCGAAGGCGGCCUGCUGGGCUUUUACUGACGCUGAGGCUCGAAAGUGUGGGGAGCAAACAGGAUUAGAUACCCGAGUAGUC
Molecule: ribosomal RNA, 440 nt
Filed under: uncultured bacterium
Lineage: Bacteria
Description: partial 16S ribosomal RNA
Rfam family: Bacterial small subunit ribosomal RNA
Source: RNAcentral